CCUACGGGAGGCAGCAGUGGGGAAUAUUGCACAAUGGGCGAAAGCCUGAUGCAGCGACGCCGCGUGAGGGAUGACGGCCUUCGGGUUGUAAACCUCUUUCAGCAGGGAAGAAGCGAAAGUGACGGUACCUGCAGAAGAAGCGCCGGCUAACUACGUGCCAGCAGCCGCGGUAAUACGUAGGGCGCAAGCGUUGUCCGGAAUUAUUGGGCGUAAAGAGCCCGUAGGCGGCUUGUCACGUCGGGUGUGAAAGCCCGGGGCUUAACCCCGGGUCUGCAUUCGAUACGGGCUAGCUAGAGUGUGGUAGGGGAGAUCGGAAUUCCUGGUGUAGCGGUGAAAUGCGCAGAUAUCAGGAGGAACACCGGUGGCGAAGGCGGAUCUCUGGGCCAUUACUGACGCUGAGGAGCGAAAGCGUGGGGAGCGAACAGGAUUAGAUACCCUGGUAGUCCACGCCGUAAACGGUGGGAACUAGGUGUUGGCGACAUUCCACGUCGUCGGUGCCGCNGCUACGACAUUAAGUUACCCGUCCCGUCGGGGAGGUACGGCCGGCCGAACGGACGUAAAACCGUUAAACUAAAGUAAGUAAGUUAAGGUACGGUCGUUGAGUACGUUCGACGACGGACGACCGACGGAGGGAGGAGG
Molecule: ribosomal RNA, 639 nt
Filed under: uncultured bacterium
Lineage: Bacteria
Description: bacterial SSU rRNA
Rfam family: Bacterial small subunit ribosomal RNA (bases 1-525)
Source: RNAcentral